AAAUUGAAGAGUUUGAUCAUGGCUCAGAUUGAACGCUGGCGGCAGGCCUAACACAUGCAAGUCGAGCGGAAACGAGUUAUCAGAACCUUCGGGGAACGAUAACGGCGUCGAGCGGCGGACGGGUGAGUAAUGCCUAGGAAAUUGCCCUGAUGUGGGGGAUAACCAUUGGAAACGAUGGCUAAUACCGCAUGAUGCCUACGGGCCAAAGAGGGGGACCUUCGGGCCUCUCGCGUCAGGAUAUGCCUAGGUGGGAUUAGCUAGUUGGUGAGGUAAGGGCUCACCAAGGCGACGAUCCCUAGCUGGUCUGAGAGGAUGAUCAGCCACACUGGAACUGAGACACGGUCCAGACUCCUACGGGAGGCAGCAGUGGGGAAUAUUGCACAAUGGGCGCAAGCCUGAUGCAGCCAUGCCGCGUGUGUGAAGAAGGCCUUCGGGUUGUAAAGCACUUUCAGUCGUGAGGAAGGCGGUGUAGUUAAUAGCUGCAUCGUUUGACGUUAGCGACAGAAGAAGCACCGGCUAACUCCGUGCCAGCAGCCGCGGUAAUACGGAGGGUGCGAGCGUUAAUCGGAAUUACUGGGCGUAAAGCGCAUGCAGGUGGUUUGUUAAGUCAGAUGUGAAAGCCCGGGGCUCAACCUCGGAAUUGCAUUUGAAACUGGCAGACUAGAGUACUGUAGAGGGGGUAGAAUUUCAGGUGUAGCGGUGAAAUGCGUAGAGAUCUGAAGGAAUACCGGUGGCGAAGGCGGCCCCCUGGACAGAUACUGACACUCAGAUGCGAAAGCGUGGGGAGCAAACAGGAUUAGAUACCCUGGUAGUCCACGCCGUAAACGAUGUCUACUUGGAGGUUGUGGCCUUGAGCCGUGGCUUUCGGAGCUAACGCGUUAAGUAGACCGCCUGGGGAGUACGGUCGCAAGAUUAAAACUCAAAUGAAUUGACGGGGGCCCGCACAAGCGGUGGAGCAUGUGGUUUAAUUCGAUGCAACGCGAAGAACCUUACCUACUCUUGACAUCCAGAGAACUUUCCAGAGAUGGAUUGGUGCCUUCGGGAACUCUGAGACAGGUGCUGCAUGGCUGUCGUCAGCUCGUGUUGUGAAAUGUUGGGUUAAGUCCCGCAACGAGCGCAACCCUUAUCCUUGUUUGCCAGCGAGUAAUGUCGGGAACUCCAGGGAGACUGCCGGUGAUAAACCGGAGGAAGGUGGGGACGACGUCAAGUCAUCAUGGCCCUUACGAGUAGGGCUACACACGUGCUACAAUGGCGCAUACAGAGGGCGGCCAACUUGCGAAAGUGAGCGAAUCCCAAAAAGUGCGUCGUAGUCCGGAUUGGAGUCUGCAACUCGACUCCAUGAAGUCGGAAUCGCUAGUAAUCGUGGAUCAGAAUGCCACGGUGAAUACGUUCCCGGGCCUUGUACACACCGCCCGUCACACCAUGGGAGUGGGCUGCAAAAGAAGUAGGUAGUUUAACCUUCGGGGGGACGCUUACCACUUUGUGGUUCAUGACUGGGGUGAAGUCGUAACAAGGUAGCGCUAGGGGAACCUGGCGCUGGAUCACCUCCUUA
This 1552-nucleotide ribosomal RNA is filed under the name Vibrio parahaemolyticus. Its description in RNAcentral is "bacterial SSU rRNA". It matches the Rfam family "Bacterial small subunit ribosomal RNA". The record is from RNAcentral. Lineage: Bacteria; Pseudomonadati; Pseudomonadota; Gammaproteobacteria; Vibrionales; Vibrionaceae.